RNAcentral lists this transfer RNA (72 nucleotides) under Ipomoea nil (Japanese morning glory). It matches the Rfam family "tRNA". From Rfam's summary of the family: Transfer RNA (tRNA) molecules are approximately 80 nucleotides in length. Their secondary structure includes four short double-helical elements and three loops (D, anti-codon, and T loops). Lineage: Eukaryota; Viridiplantae; Streptophyta; Magnoliopsida; Solanales; Convolvulaceae. The record is from Rfam by way of RNAcentral.
GCCUUCUUAGAUUAGUGGUAGAGCGCGUGGUUUUUAACCACGUGGUCGUGGGUUCAAUCCCCACAAACGGUG